RNAcentral lists this transfer RNA (73 nucleotides) under Felis catus (domestic cat). It matches the Rfam family "tRNA". Rfam says of the family: Transfer RNA (tRNA) molecules are approximately 80 nucleotides in length. Their secondary structure includes four short double-helical elements and three loops (D, anti-codon, and T loops). Lineage: Eukaryota; Metazoa; Chordata; Mammalia; Carnivora; Felidae. The record is from Rfam by way of RNAcentral. RNAcentral also lists the same sequence under 4 other names.
ACCUGGCUGGCUCAGUGGGUAGAGCAUGUGACUGUGGGUCUCGAGGUUGUGAGCUUGAGUCCCACGUUGGGUG